UUGAACGCUGGCGGCAUGCCUUACACAUGCAAGUCGAACGGCAGCACGGGUGCUUGCACCUGGUGGCGAGUGGCGAACGGGUGAGUAAUACAUCGGAACAUGUCCUGUAGUGGGGGAUAGCCCGGCGAAAGCCGGAUUAAUACCGCAUACGAUCUACGGAUGAAAGCGGGGGACCUUCGGGCCUCGCGCUAUAGGGUUGGCCGAUGGCUGAUUAGCUAGUUGGUGGGGUAAAGGCCUACCAAGGCGACGAUCAGUAGCUGGUCUGAGAGGACGACCAGCCACACUGGGACUGAGACACGGCCCAGACUCCUACGGGAGGCAGCAGUGGGGAAUUUUGGACAAUGGGCGAAAGCCUGAUCCAGCAAUGCCGCGUGUGUGAAGAAGGCAUUCGGGUUGUAAAGCACUUUUGUCCGGAAAGAAAUCCUUGGCUCUAAUACAGUCGGGGGAUGACGGUACCGGAAGAAUAAGCACCGGCUAACUACGUG
RNAcentral lists this ribosomal RNA (485 nucleotides) under uncultured bacterium. RNAcentral's name for it is "partial 16S ribosomal RNA". It matches the Rfam family "Bacterial small subunit ribosomal RNA", at positions 30 to 507 of the family's 1533-position model. The record is from RNAcentral.